This 200-nucleotide ribosomal RNA is filed under the name uncultured bacterium. RNAcentral describes it as "partial 16S ribosomal RNA". It matches the Rfam family "Bacterial small subunit ribosomal RNA", at positions 29 to 227 of the family's 1533-position model. The record is from RNAcentral.
AACGAACGCUGGCGGCGUGUUUAAGACAUGCAAGUCGCACGGGACAAGUUGAGUAGCAAUACGAUGCUUGUUUAGUGGCGCACGGGUGAGUAACACGUGAAUUACAUGCCCUAUAGUGGGGAAUAGCCCAGGGAAACUUGGAUUAAUACCCCAUGGUCUCGCAAGAGUAAAGGUGGCCGCAAGGCUGUCGCUAUAGGAUU